Non-coding RNA from Sphingomonadales bacterium BRH_c42, 72 nucleotides. NCBI's taxonomy places the organism in Bacteria, Pseudomonadati, Pseudomonadota, Alphaproteobacteria, Sphingomonadales. The record is from Rfam.
GCCUGGGUAGCUCAGUGGUAGAGCAGACGACUGAAAAUCGUCGUGUCGGUGGUUCGACUCCGCCCCCGGGCA